UAUGUAGGCAGCGAGCGUUGUUCGGAGUUACUGGGCGUAAAGAGUGCGUAGGCGGUUUUCUAAGUUUGGUGUGAAAUCUCCCGGCUUAACUGGGAGGGUGCGCCGAAGACUGGAAGGCUUGAGUAUGGGAGAGGUAAGCGGAAUUCCUGGUGUAGCGGUGAAAUGCGUAGAUAUCAGGAGGAACACCUGCGGUGUAGACGGCUUACUGGACCAUAACUGACGCUGAGGCACGAAAGCGUGGGUAGCAAACAGG
RNAcentral lists this ribosomal RNA (253 nucleotides) under uncultured bacterium. Its description in RNAcentral is "partial 16S ribosomal RNA". It matches the Rfam family "Bacterial small subunit ribosomal RNA", at positions 524 to 776 of the family's 1533-position model. The record is from RNAcentral.